RNAcentral lists this ribosomal RNA (253 nucleotides) under uncultured bacterium. Its description in RNAcentral is "partial 16S ribosomal RNA". It matches the Rfam family "Bacterial small subunit ribosomal RNA", at positions 524 to 776 of the family's 1533-position model. The record is from RNAcentral.
UACGAAGGGGGCUAGCGUUGCUUGGAAUCACUGGGCGUAAAGCGCACGUAGGCGGACUUUUAAGUCAGGGGUGAAAUCCUGGAGCUCAACUCCAGAACUGCCUUUGAUACUGGAAGUCUUGAGUUCGAGAGAGGUGAGUGGAACUGCGAGUGUAGAGGUGAAAUUCGUAGAUAUUCGCAAGAACACCAGUGGCGAAGGCGGCUCACUGGCUCGAUACUGACGCUGAGGUGCGAAGGCGUGGGGAGCAAACAGG